RNAcentral lists this ribosomal RNA (301 nucleotides) under uncultured bacterium. Its description in RNAcentral is "partial 16S ribosomal RNA". It matches the Rfam family "Bacterial small subunit ribosomal RNA", at positions 509 to 807 of the family's 1533-position model. The record is from RNAcentral.
CAGUCGCCGCGGGAAUACGUAGGUGGCAAGCGUUGUCCGGAAUUAUUGGGCGUAAAGGGCUCGCAGGCGGUUUCUUAAGUCUGAUGUGAAAGCCCCCGGCUCAACCGGGGAGGGUCAUUGGAAACUGGGAAACUUGAGUGCAGAAGAGGAGAGUGGAAUUCCACGUGUAGCGGUGAAAUGCGUAGAGAUGUGGAGGAACACCAGUGGCGAAGGCGACUCUCUGGUCUGUAACUGACGCUGAGGAGCGAAAGCGUGGGGAGCGAGCAGGAUUAGAUACCCCUGUAGUCCCUGUCUCUUAUAC